GAUGAAGAACGUAGCGAAAUGCGAUAAGUAAUGUGAAUUGCAGAAUUCAGUGAAUCAUCGAAUCUUUGAACGCACAUUGCGCCCGUCAGUAUUCUGGCGGGCAUGCCUGUUCGAGCGUCAUUACGCCCCUCAAGUCCCCUGUGGACUUGGUGUUGGGGAUCGGCGAGGCUGGUUUUCCAGCACAGCCGUCCCUUAAAUUAGUUGGCGGUCUCGCCGUGGCCCUCCUCUGCGCAGUAGUAAAACACUCGCAACAGGAGCCCGGCGCGGUCCACUGCCGUAAAACCCCCCAACUUUUUAUAGUUGACCUCGAAUCAGGUAGGACUACCCGCUGAACUUAAGCAUAUCAAUAAGCGGAGGA
RNAcentral lists this unclassified non-coding RNA (358 nucleotides) under soil metagenome. Its description in RNAcentral is "partial contains 5.8S ribosomal RNA, internal transcribed spacer 2, and large subunit ribosomal RNA". The stretch from base 1 to 120 matches the Rfam family "5.8S ribosomal RNA", at positions 35 to 154 of the family's 154-position model. The record is from RNAcentral.